AAUGAAUGAAAUAUGAAGUUUUAUUAAAAGAAAAAGGGGUGAAAAGAACAAAGUUUUAUCCAUCUUUGUUCAUCAUAGCUGAAAGUUAGAGAAGAGAAAGGAGAGGAGAAAGCUCUUGAAUAUUUGGUCAUUAGGAGGAGGAAAAUUGAAGGUAAGUUCUUGGUACCUUGCUUCUAUUUUGAGGUUCAUGAGUUCUUCUUGAUUCUACCUUAACUCUUAAAGUAUAUUUUGAUUUUUAGUUGUGUUGUGAGCAUUUAGUCAUGAAUUAAAAUGAAGGAAAUGGUUGUUGUUUCAUGUUCUUUUGAUGAAAAAUGGAAGAUAGGUGAAGUUGAGCCAAGCAAAUGAGCAUGCAUGUGCCUUAGAUGUUAAAGGGAAAAAUCAGCUAACAUGUUGUGCUUUAAAAUGAUGAAAUGGAGAUUAUACUUAAGUAAAAUCAUAGAUAUGUGAUGAUUGAUUGGUGAUAUACAUGUUUAAAUAACAUGCAUGCAAGGUAUGUGUGAAAGAGUGAUUUGGUAAUAAAUCUGCUUGGGACAGCAGCAGUAACGUGACUUUGGAAAAUCACCAUAAAUUGUGGGAGAUGAAUUAGAAGCUGAAUAAAUUAUGUAAUUAAAGCUUAUUGAGUCUAGUUUCUAAUGAAAUAAACAAGAACAUAUUUUGAAUUCUGUACAAUGAGAAAUUUGAUUCGUAAUGAAGAGUAGUCAGAUUAGUCAAACAGUGAAACAUGGAAAACUUUAAGAAAAAUAUGGUAUUGAUUGGCUAUACAAAAAAUUCUGAAAAUUUUAUGGAUAAAAUAUAUAUUAGUCUAUUUUCAGGGAAAAUUAACGGCACUUGAUUUGGAGUUUCGUAGCUCCAGUUAUAAAUAAUUUAGUGACUGUUGCUCAGGAAGACAGCUUGCAGUGAAAUUAUGAUUAUGUGGUAAACAUUGACAAAAAUUUGUUAAUGAGUUGCUUAUUGUUUUCUUAUAAGCUUACUAUGAUCUGUAGGUGUGAUUGGCCGAAUAUUGUAAGGGGUUAAUACGUAGUUUGUAUUUGAAUAGUUAGAUUAACGUGUUAGUAAUCCAAUUGUAGGUGGUUCGUGUGUGGAUCUCGUCAGCAUAUCGUCGCAAACAGGUGUGUAACUGACACCCUCUCAUAGACUAGAUUGGCAAAAGUCGAAAAGCCGAAAUGCCGAAAAGUCGGUAUUUUGGGAAUUUGCGAGUGUGCGAAUGCUCGUAAGAUAGUUGGGUUUGUAUAUUUGGUAAUCUAAAGUAAUAAACUGCAGUACGCGCGAUUUCGUACAUUUUGAUAAUUUGGGCUUAAUGGGCCAAAGAUCGGGUUCAUGGGCCAACGGGCCCAAUUCGAUAAGUAUGCGCGGUAAGUGUUCUGAUAGUACGUAAAUAGUUAGGAUAUGCAUGAAAACCCUAAAAGUAGCUAAAUUACUAUAAUACCCCUAUGUAUGGAAAAUUACUGUUAUACCCCUAGGUGCAUAAUUACCGUUAUACCCCUAGGGUUAAUUUUGACUAAAAAGCAUGACGAUCUGAUUCUGUAUGAUGUAUGCCAUGAUUAUAUAUCUGUUGCAUGGGGACAUGGGUUAUAUUAUGGAGGAAGCGUUCUGGUGGCUAUGCCACAAAUAUCUGAUCUGGUGGCUCUGCCACAAAUAUCUGAUCUGGUGGCUCUGCCACAUAUAUCUGUUCUGGUGGCUCUGCCACGAUUAUCUGUAUCUGGUGACUCUCUCACAUUAUCUGUUCUGGCAGCCAUGCUGCAAAUUCUGUGGUGUGUAGCGGUUGGGUGGGUCGAGUUGUCUCCCCACACGGUGUAAGGUUGGUACGGGGGUGUAUACGGUUGGAUAUGGUUGGGUUUCUGCAUAAACAUGUAAUAUCUGUUCUGUUCUGCUAUGGGCCUAUGGGCUUUAUUCUGAAUUCUGUUCUGGGCUAAGGCCAACUUAUUCUAUUUCUGUGGGUUGAGCUGAUUUAGACUAUGGUUGGGUUAUUUUACACACUGAGUUUUCCCCAAACUCACCCCUUUUAUUUUCAUCCACGCAGGUAAUCCCCAACCAUAGUGGGCUUGGAGCUGUGAGGGAAUUCGGAGUGGCCACCCGUUCUGAAAGUUUGAUUUUCUUCUGGUGAACUGGACAUCCUUUUAAUUACGUUUGAGGUUUUGGGCUUUUAAAUGUAAUAAGGCCGCUUAUUUAUUUUUGAUGGUUUUUAAUAUGUAUUACUAAGAUAGAUAAUACUUAUUUUAACUGUUGAAAUUGGAUAGCUUUAGGGCGCGUUUCCAAAAACAACAGUUGAUUUCAAAAUAACACGACAACAAACAAAGCUUCCGCAAUGAAAGUAUUUUCCAAAAUUAAUCAUUUUUCCUAAAAAUGACUUAAUCAAAUCGGUUUCCUAGAAAUAUCCAUGACGUUAAGGUGUGGCAAUGGCGGUAUGCAUGUCUAGGAUUGGAUCCGAAGGGAGCUUGGUAUUUAAGCAGUCCGAUGGACUCACCACCUCUUUUCCGGUUUCCUACCUGGUGCACAGCUUCCAUUCACUUUAACCCUUAAUGAAUUAAUCUUUUGAACAUCAAGUACGAUUUUCUGGACUUAGAAUGGAAAUUUUUUUUUUACGUUUUUGAUGUGGCAUGCCGGAUCCGGCCAUAACUUCUGGGCCGGGUUUGGGGUGUUACAUAGCCGGUUGGAAUCUCAUCGGAGUAUUGUCAAACUAUUUAUUCAAAAUAUUAGUAUUUAUGGCUAUUUUGGUUAAUGGUUAUAAAUGACAUGUAAUAGGGUUGAAAGGUUAUUCAAGUGAAAUUGCUUGUCUUGAGUUGUGUCAAGCUUGUCACGGUUAAUAAGGUAAAUGAUGGCAUGAAUAAUAGUUGUAAAUAUGGGUGAAUGAACCCUCAUGCAUACUCCAUAGAUUCUAAAUAGUAUAUAGCAUGAUGGCAUGUUUUGGAAUGGUUAUUUUGCCAUGGUUGGCAUAGGGUUAAACUAGAUUUUGUGCUUGAGAUGUGGCAAUAUAGCUUUGUUUCGAUUGAAGUUGUUUUGGUGUAAAUGAGGUGCCUUUGAAUGACUUAUUGGCUAGGAAAAAUAGGUUGAUUGAAUGGCUUGUUUUGAGGGACCAAUUAUGGAGCACACAGCCUAGGACACGGGCUAUCACAUGGCCUGGCUAUACGACCUUGUAUCACUUAUUAUUUUAGGUGUGAGUACGACACAGCCGUGUAUAUCAAGUUAGUGAGUUACACGAUCUAGCACACAUUCUACAACACGGCUGUGUGACACAAGUCAGAAAGUUACAUGGUUUAUGACAUGGGCUAGGACACGACCGUGUGUCCCAUUGUUCGAAUACCACACGGUCUGGGCUUUGUCACACGGCUUGCCCACACGAUUGUGUGACCCUUGUUUUCAAAAUUUUUAACUUUUUCCAAAAUUGACUUAAUUGUUUUAAAUUAGUCUCGAAUUGUUUCUGAACUGUUUUUAGGGCCUUUAAGGCUCGAUUUAAGGCCUAAAUGUAUAUCUUGGCUAGGUUUGUAAUGAUUUUUAAGUAAUUAAUGUUAAAUGACA
This 3516-nucleotide long non-coding RNA is filed under the name Gossypium barbadense (sea-island cotton). RNAcentral's name for it is "long non-coding RNA (GBAR_LNC011134)". Lineage: Eukaryota; Viridiplantae; Streptophyta; Magnoliopsida; Malvales; Malvaceae. The record is from RNAcentral.